UGUAUUUAUUAGAUAAAAAACCAAUGCCCUUCGGGGCUCCUUGGUGAAUCAUAAUAACUUAACGAAUCGCAUGGCCUUGCGCCGGCGAUGGUUCAUUCAAAUUUCUGCCCUAUCAACUUUCGAUGGUAGGAUAGUGGCCUACCAUGGUGGCAACGGGUAACGGGGAAUUAGGGUUCGAUUCCGGAGAGGAAGCCUGAGAAACGGCUACCACAUCCAAGGAAGGCAGCAGGCGCGCAAAUUACCCAAUCCCGACACGGGGAGGUAGUGACAAUAAAUACUGAUACGGGGCUCUUUUGGGUCUCGUAAUUGGAAUGAGUACAAUCUAAAUCCCUUAACGAGGAACAAUUGGAGGGCAAGUCUGGUGCCAGCAGCCGCGGUAAUUCCAGCUCCAAUAGCGUAUAUUAAAGUUGUUGCAGUUAAAAAGCUCGUAGUUGAACCUUGGGUCUGGCUGGCCGGUCCGCCUCACCGCGAGUACUGGUCCGGCUGGACCUUUCCUUCUGGGGAAUCUCAUGGCCUUCACUGGCUGUGGGGGGAACCAGG
Molecule: ribosomal RNA, 540 nt
Filed under: uncultured eukaryote
Lineage: Eukaryota
Description: SSU rRNA
Rfam family: Eukaryotic small subunit ribosomal RNA
Source: RNAcentral